Propithecus coquereli (Coquerel's sifaka) is the source of this 559-nucleotide long non-coding RNA. RefSeq lists it as uncharacterized. The transcript has 3 exons. Lineage: Eukaryota; Metazoa; Chordata; Mammalia; Primates; Indriidae. The record is from RefSeq and is a predicted model, not a curated record.
AUGGAGACCGAUGCUGUUAAGAGCGAGAGGGCCUGGAGAAGGUGGGGAGUGAAGAUGAAGGGGUCUCUGGUCUCUGGCGCGGGAGGCGGUGGGGGAAAGAAGUGCAGGGGGUGUCCCGAGCGCUGGCUCUGAAAUCUGAGGCAGGUUUUGCUUUGCCUUCCUGUCAACCCCAACUGUGCAUGGUAGGGUUUGUCCCCGGCGUCAAAGGCAAGAACAGCCGAGCCCCUAGACGGUGAGAGCCCAGGAGUGGGCGUUUCACUUUUCCUGCGUCUGGGCAGCCCCUGAGGCAAUGCCCUUUGACCUUUGACUUGUGUGCAGCUUCUGCUUCUCCAGAUCAUCUGGUGUUCUUUAUGAAAACUGGGAUGAGAAGCACCAAGUAUAAACCAGUAGACUACCAACAAUUGCGUGCAUUAACUGAAGCACAAAAAUUAGCUUCUGCCUGUACGGAGCUAAAGAUCAGAAAAGCGUUGCAGACUUCAAAGAUAUCUAAAGAACAAAUACUAAUGAAACAACACAAGCAAGUGUGGUGGCAAGAACACCAGAGGCUAAAUGAAGUCAG